GACGAACGCUGGCGGCGUGCUUAACACAUGCAAGUCGAACGAUGAAGCCGGAGCUUGCUCUGGUGAAUUAGUGGCGAACGGGUGAGUAACACGUGAGUAACCUGCCCUUGACUCUGGGAUAACUGCGGGAAACUGUAGCUAAUACCGGAUACGACCCUCGGAGGCAUCUCCUGGGGGUGGAAAGAAUUUCGGUCAAGGAUGGACUCGCGGCCUAUCAGCUAGUUGGUGAGGUAAAGGCUCACCAAGGCGACCACGGGUAGCCGGCCUGAGAGGGUGACCGGCCACACUGGGACUGAGACACGGCCCAGACUCCUAGGGGAGGCAGCAGUGGGGAAUAUUGCACAAUGGGCGAAAGCGUGAUGCAGCAACGCCGCGGGAGGGAGGACGGCCUUCGGGUUGUAAACCUCUUUUAGCAGGGAAGAAGCGAAAGUGACGGUACCUGCAGAAAAAGCACCGGCUAACUACGUGCCAGCAGCCGCCGUAA
Molecule: ribosomal RNA, 484 nt
Filed under: uncultured bacterium
Lineage: Bacteria
Description: partial 16S ribosomal RNA
Rfam family: Bacterial small subunit ribosomal RNA
Source: RNAcentral